Molecule: ribosomal RNA, 618 nt
Filed under: Diplocarpon coronariae
Lineage: Eukaryota; Fungi; Ascomycota; Leotiomycetes; Helotiales; Drepanopezizaceae
Description: partial large subunit ribosomal RNA
Rfam family: Eukaryotic large subunit ribosomal RNA
Source: RNAcentral
UGCAUAUCAAUAAGCGGAGGAAAAGAAACCAACAGGGAUUACCUCAGUAACGGCGAGUGAAGCGGUAACAGCUCAAAUUUGAAAGCUGGCCCCCCCCGGGGCCCGCGUUGUAAUUUGCAGAAGAUGCUUCGGGCGUCGCCCCGGUCUAAGUUCCUUGGAACAGGACGUCAGAGAGGGUGAGAAUCCCGUACGGGACUGGACGCGUGCGCCCGGGUGAAGCUCUUUCGACGAGUCGAGUUGUUUGGGAAUGCAGCUCUAAAUGGGUGGUAUAUUUCAUCUAAAGCUAAAUACUGGCCAGAGACCGAUAGCGCACAAGUAGAGUGAUCGAAAGAUGAAAAGCACUUUGGAAAGAGAGUUAAACAGUACGUGAAAUUGUUGAAAGGGAAGCGCUUGCCCCCAGACUUGCGCGCCGCCGAUCACCCGGGCUUCUGCCCGGGGCACGCGGCGGCGCGCAGGCCAGCAUCGGUUCCGGUGGUGGGACAAAGGCCUUGGGAACGUAGCUCCCCUCGGGGAGUGUUAUAGCCCUCGGUGCAAUGCCGCCUACCGGGACCGAGGACCGCGCUCCGGCUAGGAUGCUGCGCAGCGACUUGCAAGCGACCCGUCUUGAAACACGGACCA